CCCAGUGCAUAGUGUUCCUCGGAUAGAAGUGUCUUUGGUAAGAGGGAGGAGUGUGAGGCCAUGUGUUCUGAGGUCACCUCCCCAUAGUACUGACCACCUGAGUUCCUCCUGUCCCCUCUUGAGAGCUGCCGCCAUCAUCCCUUGCCCUAUUAGUGGCUACCUCCCACUCCUGAGUGCCUUUUAUUCUCUUUCUCCCUUGGGCUGUGAGAAGGGCAGAGUGCCCAGCCAGGGAAUGGACAUGGAUGUGUGUGGUUGUGCAUGUGUGUGUGUGUGUGUGUGUGUGUGUGUGUGUUUGUGUGUGUGUGUGUAGGGGCUGGGGCUGACAGCAGGUCAGAGCACAGGAGUAGAGAGCUUCUGGCAAGUGAGGCUGCCCUUAGGUCAGCUCUGUACCCUGGAGCCCAGAGGACUCUUCACUCAGACGGCAACAGCCUGCAAGACCCCGAGAAGCCAGAGCAGCUUCAGUCACUGACCAGAGGAGACCCCGAGGAGCCCGGGAGGAGCCUCAGGAGUGUUCACAAUGACAGUACCCUGGAAAGCUCUGGAAUAAAAAUACCUGGGCUUUAGGUCGUGGAGGUAGGAGAUGGUAUCGUGUAAUGAAAGGUUUCAUUUUUCUCACCUGCCACAGCCUUAAUGUCAGAUGCUUGGGAAACAAGAGGUGGGGAUGAAUGGGCCUUGGAGCUGGCUGAUGGGAGGGCUCGGGGCAGGUGGGUGGCCAGUCUGCCUGUGACCUCUCCCCUUUGCUUCUUGAGAUUCACAAACAAAUUCCUGGUUCCUGGUGCCCAGGCUGCUCCCUGUCACCCUCUUUGUUGUUCUCUGCCUCCUUCAGGUGAUGGUGGGCUCCUGCUCCACAUCCUGAUGGGACUCUCUGGAGCUGACAGAACCCUUUACUGCCUACAACUUGGGCCUGGUGCUUCUUUCAAGGUAUAUGUUUUAUGAGGUAAGCCUGAUCAGCGCUUUCUGCAGAGUUCCAGCAUCUGUUACUCCUUGGGGAGCCCAAAGGAUAAAUAAAGCCAUGAGCUUCUGACACAAAAAGUUCC
RNAcentral lists this long non-coding RNA (1037 nucleotides) under Ictidomys tridecemlineatus (thirteen-lined ground squirrel). Its description in RNAcentral is "lncRNA (ENSSTOG00000031062.1)". The record is from RNAcentral. Lineage: Eukaryota; Metazoa; Chordata; Mammalia; Rodentia; Sciuridae.